RNAcentral lists this ribosomal RNA (483 nucleotides) under uncultured bacterium. RNAcentral describes it as "partial 16S ribosomal RNA". It matches the Rfam family "Bacterial small subunit ribosomal RNA", at positions 29 to 523 of the family's 1533-position model. The record is from RNAcentral.
AAUGAACGUUGGCGGCAUGGAUUAGGCAUGCGAGUCGAGCGAGAACCGUAGCAAUACGGGGACAGCGGCGAAAGGGAGAGUAAUGUGUGGAUAUCUACCUCCAGGCCUGGGACAACUGCGGGAAACUGUAGCUAAUACCAGAUAAUGUCUGCGGACCAAAGGUGUGAUUCCUCCGGGAGAUGAGUCCACAUCCUAUUAGCUAGUUGGUAGGGUAAUGGCCUACCAAGGCAAUGAUGGGUAGCAGGUGUGAGAGCACGACCUGCCUCAUUGGGACUGAGACACUGCCCAGACACCUACGGGUGGCUGCAGUCGAGAAUCUUCGGCAAUGGGCGCAAGCCUGACCGAGCGAUGCCGCGUGCGGGAUGAAGGCCUUCGGGUUGUAAACCGCUGUCAGAGGGGAUGAAAUACGUCGGGGGUUCUCCCCCGGGUUUGACAUAUCCUCAGAGGAAGGACGGGCUAAGUUCGUGCCAGCCGCCGCCGUAA